RNAcentral lists this ribosomal RNA (468 nucleotides) under uncultured bacterium. RNAcentral describes it as "partial 16S ribosomal RNA". It matches the Rfam family "Bacterial small subunit ribosomal RNA", at positions 28 to 507 of the family's 1533-position model. The record is from RNAcentral.
GACGAACGCUGGCGGCGUGCUUAACACAUGCAAGUCGAACGGAAAGGCCCUGCUUUUGUGGGGUGCUCGAGUGGCGAACGGGUGAGUAACACGUGAGUAACCUGCCCUUGACUUUGGGAUAACUUCAGGAAACUGGGGCUAAUACCGGAUAGGAGCUCCUGCUGCAUGGUGGGGGUUGGAAAGUUUCGGCGGUUGGGGAUGGACUCGCGGCUUAUCAGCUUGUUGGUGGGGUAGUGGCUUACCAAGGCUUUGACGGGUAGCCGGCCUGAGAGGGUGACCGGCCAAAUUGGGAUGGAGAUCGGCCCGAGCCCCAGCGGGGGGCAAGAGGGGGGAAAUAUGGCCCAAGGGGGGGAGCCUGGAUGAAGAACCCCCGGGGGGGGAAGGAGGGCCUUGGGUUUGAAACCCGUUUUCGCCUGUGAGAAAGGGGGGGGGCGGUAAGGGGGAAAAGAACCCCCGGCUACCAACGUG